GAUCCUGGCUCAGAUUGAACGCUGGCGGCAGGCCUAACACAUGCAAGUCGAACGGUAACAGGAAGCAGCUUGCUGCUUCGCUGACGAGUGGCGGACGGGUGAGUAAUGUCUGGGAAGCUGCCUGAUGGAGGGGGAUAACUACUGGAAACGGUAGCUAAUACCGCAUAAUGUCGCAAGACCAAAGAGGGGGACCUUCGGGCCUCUUGCCAUCGGAUGUGCCCAGAUGGGAUUAGCUUGUUGGUGGGGUAACGGCUCACCAAGGCGACGAUCCCUAGCUGGUCUGAGAGGAUGACCAGCCACACUGGAACUGAGACACGGUCCAGACUCCUACGGGAGGCAGCAGUGGGGAAUAUUGCACAAUGGGCGCAAGCCUGAUGCAGCCAUGCCGCGUGUAUGAAGAAGGCCUUCGGGUUGUAAAGACUUUUCAGCGGGGAGGAAGGGAGUAAAGUUAAUACCUUUGCUCAUUGACGUUACCCGCAGAAGAAGCACCGGCUAACUCCGUGCCAGCAGCCGCGGUAAUACGGAGGGUGCAAGCGUUAAUCGGAAUUACUGGGCGUAAAGCGCACGCAGGCGGUUUGUUAAGUCAGAUGUGAAAUCCCCGGGCUCAACCUGGGAACUGCGUCUGAUACUGGCAAGCUUGAGUCUCGUAGAGGGGGGUAGAAUUCCAGGUGUAGCGGUGAAAUGCGUAGAGAUCUGGAAGAAUACCGGUGGCGAAGGCGGCCCCCUGGACGAAGACUGACGCUCAUGUGCGAAAGCGUGGGGAGCAAACAGGAUUAGAUACCCUGGUAGUCCACGCCGUAAACGAUGCGACUUGGGAGGUUGUGCCCUUGAGGCGUGGCUUCCGGAGCUAACGCGUUAAGUCGACGCCUGGGGAGUACGGCCGCAAGGUAAAAACUCGAAUGAAUAAACCGGGGACCGCACAAGCGGUGAGCAUGGUGGUUU
This 942-nucleotide ribosomal RNA is filed under the name uncultured bacterium. RNAcentral's name for it is "bacterial SSU rRNA". It matches the Rfam family "Bacterial small subunit ribosomal RNA", at positions 15 to 947 of the family's 1533-position model. The record is from RNAcentral.